RNAcentral lists this long non-coding RNA (3993 nucleotides) under Carica papaya (papaya). RNAcentral's name for it is "long non-coding RNA (CPAP_LNC006102)". Lineage: Eukaryota; Viridiplantae; Streptophyta; Magnoliopsida; Brassicales; Caricaceae. The record is from RNAcentral.
AUAUAUAUGAGUCAUUUGUAACAUAAAAAAUAUAGUACAAAAUAAAGUAAAUAUUUUACCUAAAUUUCUACAUGGUAUCAAAGCAACAAAAGGGUAUUUUAAGACUUUUUCAAUUUUAGAGUUUCUUUCAAACUCUAAAAUAUUUUCACCAUUUAACCAAAUGGAGUCCUAGCACCACCAGCAGCCUGCUGCCCUAUUCCAGUGAUCAUCUCCACCCUACCCAAUCCCUCUGCUAAGGUCGUACCCAUCCGUUCACGCUGCUUCCUUGCGCACGGCCUUUGGAUCCCACUGCUCCCUUCUCUGGUUCACGCAACCUGAUCCAACAUGCUGGUUCACGCUGCGCACGGUGUCUUAUUCCGUAGCACACACUUGGCGUCUCUGGUUUGCGCUGCUCCUCUGCGUACGGCAUCCGGCUCCCUCGCACGCAGCACCGAGUCCCUUCACGGACGCACGACCUGACCCUUCUGUUUGCGCCUUGUGCCGCUUCUUCACGCAUCACAGAUUCGGUCUUGCUAGACCCAUCUGCUCUGAUUCGUGCAGGGUCACUCGCGUAAGGUUCCUGCCUUACAGAUUUGUUUUCACGCGGCCGCGCUCUUUUUUUGCAGCUUUUCAAAUCGGAUUCCUACUGUUGUUUGUGCAGAGCUGCACGCCCUUCCUCCUCCUCUGGUUCUUGCAAUCUGCUCUCUCUGGUUGCGCAUCCUCCCAGCAAAUCGUGACCAGACUCGGUUCUAUUUUUUGUUCUCAGAUCCGGCCUUGGCUCUUGUUUCCGGAUUAAAAAUAUUGGUUGUUCCAAAGUUCAGGUAAUCCUUUAUCCACUAUUAGUACUUCAAAAAAUGGUAAAUUCAGGUAUUGCUCCUCUUCUUACUAUUUUCAAUUUUCAUGCUUAGAUUAUAAACUCUGAAACUAACUGACAUAUGAUAAACUAUUUUAAAAACUUCCUAACUUUAUUUUCAUGUAUUCAACAUGAGAAUAUACGUGUCGCAGAUAGAUCAUACACUCCUAUAUCUAGAACAAACUCCAUUAAUGUGCCUAAUUUUCUAACAAUCUCUUAUCUGUUAGUGUCCUUACUAGAGAUUUUAACUGUAAAAUUAAAUUUUUUCCUAACCAUUGUAUUCUUUAAGAUCUUCAAACAGAAAAAACGAUUGACAUUAAUAAACUGCAGGAUGAUUUAUGUCUUGAAUAUAAGUUGAAGCGUGAUUAGUAAUCAAGUUGCCUUCAGAAAUAGUGAUGUCAAUAGUAAAAUCUUAAAAUUGCAUAGACGGUUGGGACGUUCUUCUUUUUUUAUUCUAGAAAAAUUAUAUCCCACAUUAUUUAAAAAUUUUUUUAUAGAUUUCUUAUUUUGUGAUGCAUGUGAGCUACCUAAAUAUAAAUGGAGUUGAUAUAAUGUGAAUAACCAUAGAAAUCUUACUCUUUUUGUGACAAUUCACUCUGAUAUUUGCGGACCCAUUCAAAAUACAUCCUUAUUUGCUUGUAGAUGGUUUGUUACUUUCAUUGACUGAUAUACUAGAUUAACAUUGAUUUAUCUGUUGAAAGCCAAAAGUGAUGUGUUCUCAUACUUUCGAUCAUUUCACAAAAUGAUAUGUAUACAGUUUGAUACUCAAGUUAAGAUUUUAUAAACAGAAACCUGUACAGAAUAUAUGGAUGGUGAAUUCCGUGCCUAUUUGGAGUCUCAUGAGAUAAUUUACAAGACAAGUUGUGCCUACACUAGUGAACAAAAUGGAAUUACUGAAAGAACAAAUAGACACGUAUUGGAGGUAACUCGGUCACUAAUGUUUAUCAUGAAUAUAUUAAAAAACAGUUCCCUCACCUGUUUACCUUAUUAAUAGAAUGUUUUUGUGGGUUCUUAAUUUUAGAAUUCUUUUGAAAGUUUUACAAGGUACAAAUUUCUAUACUGUUUCCCCAAAAGUGUUUGAAUAUGUUUGCUUUGUCCAUCUUAAAAAUGUGAGUAAACUGGAACCUAAAGCUCUCAGGUGUAUAUUUGUUAGAUAUUCUCAUACUCAAAAGGGUUACAAGUGUUAUCAUCCACCGUUUACAAAAUACUUUAUGACUAUGGAUAUUACUUUUAGAGAAUCUAAAACAUAGUUCAGCUCCACUCCAACACCUCUUCAGGGAGAGAGUGAAAUGGAAGAGGUGAUACCCUAUUCGGUUACUUUUAAUAGUCAUAUUAAGGGGGAGAAUUCUAUAUCAGAAGAUCUUAUUUAAGAAAAAAAUGUUGUACGACUAGAUAAACUGGAUUUGAAAAGAUAUUCAAGAAGAGAUAAGACAGGAAAAACCAUCAUGCAAUAUAUUUCAAAUUAAGAAUCUUUUUUAAUUCCUAAAGAUACUGGCGAGUCAUCUUUAUCUUAUGAAUUAUCUGAUAAAUUCAUUACUCUUAGAAAAAGAACCCAAACUUGCACUAAGCAUCCUAUGUCUAAUUUUGUUUCGUAUAACUCCCUAUCUCCCUCCUAUAGAGUCUUUAUUUUGUUUGUUUCCUUUAUAUCCAUUCCACAGGAUUGGAGAGAAACUCUAAGAGAUCCCAAAUAGAAAGAAACGAUGAUUGAAUAAAUGAAAGUAUUGGAAAAAAAUGAAAAAUGAGAGCUUGUUUCAACCCCACACGAAAAGAAAAUGAUUGGUUAUAAGUGAGUGUUCACUAUAAAACAUAAAGCAGAUGGGUUAAUUGAAAGAUACAAAGUUUAACUAGUGAAUAAAGGAUUUACUUAUACCUAUGGAGUUGAUUACUAGGAAACCUUUGUACCUGUCGCAAAAAUGAACACAAUCAAAAUAUUACAAUCCUGCACUGCUAAUUUUGAUUAGGACUUACACUAAUUUGAUGUAAAAAAUAUCUUUUUCUGUGGGGACUUAAAGGAGGAAGUAUACAUCAAAAUUCCACCUGGUUUUGAAGGUGAAAGAACACAAGGGAAGGUUUGCAAAUUAAAAAAGACCUUGUACGGACUGAAAUAGUCUCCAAGAGUAUGAUUUGAAAGGUUCAGAAGAUGUAUGAUUUCUUUUGGAUAUCAACAAAACAAUGUUGAUCAUACCCUGUUCAUUAAGCAUUGUGAGGGAAUGAUCGUUCUUUUUAUUAUUUAUGUAGAUGAUAUUGUGGUGACUCAAGAUGAUAUAAAGAAGAUGACUCGAUUAAAGAGAUUUCUUUAUCAAAAAUUUGAAAUUAAGAAUCUAAAAAAAUUACUGUACUUCUUACGAAUUGAGGUUGCUAGAUCUAAUGAAGGAAUCUUCAUUUUUCAAAAAAAUUAUAUCCUAAACUUACUAGAAGAGAAUAGUAUGAUGGAUUGCAAGCUAAUUACAAGCACGCAAUGGUACAUCAGUUGACAUAAGAAUGUAUUAGAGAUUAGUUGAAAGACUUAUUUAUCUCUUACAUAUCAGACCAGGUAUAGCAUAUGUAGUUAAUCUGGUGAGUCAAUACAUGAACGAUUCUCGCGAGACUUAUUUACAUCCUAUUUUUUGAAUACUACGAUAUCUGAAAUCUGCACCAGGAAAAUAUUUACUCUUCUUCAUAAAUGACCACCUUAAAAUAGAAAAAAUUACAAAUGCCGAUUGGGUUGGAGUUUCGAAUAAUAGAAGGUCAACCACCGGUUACUACACACUCGUUAGAGGUAAUUUGGUUACAUGAAAAAAUAAAAAGUAGAGUGUAAUUGUACGUUUUAGUGCUGAUGUAGAAUACGGAACAAUGACUCAUGAGAUAUGUUAACUUAUUAUGGGUGCAAAACUAAUGAAAGAAUUAAAAUUGUUUAAAGAUGAAAGUUUACCAUUGUUUUGUGACAAUAAAGCAGGUAUUAGUAUUGCUCAAAAUCCAAUUCAACAUGAUCGGACGAAACAUAUUGAGAUUGACCGUCCGUAAAAGACAAAGUGAUUGAUGGCUCUUUAUGCUUAUAUCAUGUGUUUUCUAGCAAUCAGGUGGCAAACAUCUUCACCAAAGGACUUUACAACAAAACUCUUCAGAAUUUGAUAUACAAGUUAGACAUGUGCGAUAUCUUUACACCAACUUGAGGGGGAGCA